Molecule: non-coding RNA, 439 nt
Organism: Pelobates cultripes (western spadefoot toad)
Lineage: Eukaryota; Metazoa; Chordata; Amphibia; Anura; Pelobatidae
Source: the annotation of a GenBank genome assembly
UAAUAAAUAAAUAAAAUAAUAAAAUAAAUAAAUAAAAUAUUGAAACAAAAUGUAAUAUAAAUUAUAUAUUCAUAUGUAAUCUCAUUCUAACUUUAUUUUGUUAUUAAUAUAUAUAAAUUGGCCUGAUGGGGAUGGAUAUGUCCCAGUUUUUUAUGUGGACCCCUAAGGAGCAUAGACCGAACAUAAGCGUGACCUGCCCUGCGGUUUCCAAUUCACUGAAGAUAACAGAACCCCCCAUGUACAGGUUUUAUCGUGUUUUGGAAAGUUAGAGAGUAACAUAUAUGAAAUUUGCCAGAUUGGUUAUGUUGCCUUUGAGAGCGUAUGGUAGCCCAGGAAUGAGAAUUACCCCCAUGAUGGCAUACAAUUUGCAAAAGUAGACAACCAAAGGUAUUGCAAGUGGGGUAUGUCCAGUCUUUCUUAGUAGCCACUUAGUCACAAA